Camellia sinensis is the source of this 238-nucleotide non-coding RNA. NCBI's taxonomy places the organism in Eukaryota, Viridiplantae, Streptophyta, Magnoliopsida, Ericales, Theaceae. The record is from RefSeq and is a predicted model, not a curated record.
UUAUAGAUGAUGUAUGAAAGCAUGAAGGCAAGGGUGGAGAAUGUAGUUGAGAGAGGGAAGGUUGGGGAUGAGUACAUCACUAGCCAACAACAACGUGAUGCUUUCAACAAAUGGAAUUCUCAAGGAUUUACUCGCCAAGACCAUCCUACUGUUAUUUAGGUUUUGUUGGAGAUUGGGAGAGACAAAGACAUCACAGGCGAAUCAAUGCCAAAUCUUAUCUAUGUUUCCAGACACAAAA